CCGGAAUCACCCAAGCAAGCGUCGAGCCCCGCAGGUCCCUCCGCGACGGGACUUCUGCCGCGCCCCCACCCUCCGCCACCAUUGGCUAGAGCUGCUGCUUGUCCGCCCGAAGCCUGGCGGACCUUGGGAGACAACAGUAAGACCCAACAAGAAAUGAAGGUACAACCGUCAGCAGAAACUGCAAGAGUAAAGAUAAGGGAGAAAAACAGCCUGCCUAGGAACAACGAUGAGACCCAAUAAGGAGCAGGAGACCCCAGACCUAAAAAUUACUAUUGGUCUGAACUACUGCGUGAGGGGUGGGAAACUUAAUUUGAAAAAGCUAUAAUUGCCCAGGGAUUUCUUUGUUCGGGGUCCCUCUUCGGAGGCACUCAGCUCGAGCUGUAAUUACUGCACGCGUGUCAUUAAAGUUUAAUUAUUUAAUUUGC
Long non-coding RNA from Dromaius novaehollandiae (emu), 425 nucleotides. RefSeq lists it as uncharacterized. The transcript is spliced from 2 exons. Lineage: Eukaryota; Metazoa; Chordata; Aves; Casuariiformes; Dromaiidae. The record is from RefSeq and is a predicted model, not a curated record.